AGGGGCGUAGACUAGUGGUUAUUUCGCCACGCUCACACCGUGGAUGUCAAGAGUUCAACUCUCUUCGUCCCUA
Molecule: transfer RNA, 73 nt
Filed under: Promethearchaeum syntrophicum
Lineage: Archaea; Promethearchaeati; Promethearchaeota; Promethearchaeia; Promethearchaeales; Promethearchaeaceae
Description: tRNA-Val (CAC) (tRNA-Val-CAC-1-1)
Rfam family: tRNA
About the family: Transfer RNA (tRNA) molecules are approximately 80 nucleotides in length. Their secondary structure includes four short double-helical elements and three loops (D, anti-codon, and T loops).
Source: Rfam by way of RNAcentral